GCCAUGUCCCAUCUGUGCAGGACCCCACUGGAAAUCGGACUGUCCAACUCACCCUGCAGCCACUACCAGAGCUCCUGGAACUCUGGCCCAAGGCUCUCUGACUGACUCCUUCCCAGAUCUUCUCGGCUUAGUGGCUGAAGGCUGAUGCUGCCCCAUCACCUCGGAAGCCUCCUGGACCAUCACAGACACUUUCAGUAACUCUUACAGUGGAAGGUUUCUCUGGUAGGAAGAAUGCUCCUGAAAGAUGUCCACAUCUUAAUCCUUGAGGCCUAUGAGCAUAUUAUGCUGCAUGGUAAAUGGCUACAGACCUAAGAUGGAAGGAAUA
This 325-nucleotide long non-coding RNA is filed under the name Homo sapiens (human). Its description in RNAcentral is "HSALNT0055764". The record is from RNAcentral. Lineage: Eukaryota; Metazoa; Chordata; Mammalia; Primates; Hominidae.